GAGUUUGAUCCUGGCUCAGGACGAACGCUGGCGGCGUGCUUAACACAUGCAAGUCGAACGGUGAAGUCCCAGCUUGCUGGGAUGGAUCAGUGGCGAACGGGUGAGUAACACGUGAGCAACCUGCCCUCCACUUCGGGAUAAGCCUUGGAAACGGGGUCUAAUACCGGAUAUGAGCCUGCAUCGCAUGGUGUGGGUUGGAAAGUUUUUCGGUGGGGGAUGGGCUCGCGGCCUAUCAGCUUGUUGGUGGGGUGAUGGCCUACCAAGGCGUCGACGGGUAGCCGGCCUGAGAGGGCGACCGGCCACACUGGGACUGAGACACGGCCCAGACUCCUACGGGAGGCAGCAGUGGGGAAUAUUGCACAAUGGGCGCAAGCCUGAUGCAGCGACGCCGCGUGAGGGAUGACGGCCUUCGGGUUGUAAACCUCUUUCAGCAGGGAAGAAGCGCAAGUGACGGUACCUGCAGAAGAGGCGCCGGCUAACUACGUGCCAGCAGCCGCGGUAAUACGUAGGGCGCAAGCGUUGUCCGGAAUUAUUGGGCGUAAAGAGCUCGUAGGCGGUCUGUCGCGUCUGGUGUGAAAUCCCGAGGCUCAACCUCGGGCUUGCAUCGGGUACGGGCAGACUAGAGUGCGGUAGGGGAGACUGGAAUUCCUGGUGUAGCGGUGGAAUGCGCAGAUAUCAGGAGGAACACCGAUGGCGAAGGCAGGUCUCUGGGCCGCAACUGACGCUGAGGAGCGAAAGCAUGGGGAGCGAACAGGAUUAGAUACCCUGGUAGUCCAUGCCGUAAACGUUGGGCACUAGGUGUGGGGCUCAUUCCACGAGUUCCGUGCCGCAGCUAACGCAUUAAGUGCCCCGCCUGGGGAGUACGGCCGCAAAGGCUAAAACUCAAAGGAAUUGACGGGGGCCCGCACAAGCGGCGGGAGCAUGCGGAUUAAUUCGAUGCAACGCGAAGAACCUUUACCAAGGCUUGACAUGCACCGGAAACACUCAGAGAUGGGUGC
Molecule: ribosomal RNA, 998 nt
Filed under: Isoptericola sp.
Lineage: Bacteria; Bacillati; Actinomycetota; Actinomycetes; Micrococcales; Promicromonosporaceae
Description: bacterial SSU rRNA
Rfam family: Bacterial small subunit ribosomal RNA
Source: RNAcentral